This 302-nucleotide ribosomal RNA is filed under the name Enterobacter roggenkampii. Its description in RNAcentral is "partial 16S ribosomal RNA". It matches the Rfam family "Bacterial small subunit ribosomal RNA", at positions 1 to 301 of the family's 1533-position model. The record is from RNAcentral. Lineage: Bacteria; Pseudomonadati; Pseudomonadota; Gammaproteobacteria; Enterobacterales; Enterobacteriaceae.
AAAUUGAAGAGUUUGAUCAUGGCUCAGAUUGAACGCUGGCGGCAGGCCUAACACAUGCAAGUCGAGCGGUAACACAGGGAGCUUGCUCCUGGGUGACGAGCGGCGGACGGGUGAGUAAUGUCUGGGAAACUGCCUGAUGGAGGGGGAUAACUACUGGAAACGGUAGCUAAUACCGCAUAAUGUCGCAAGACCAAAGAGGGGGACCUUCGGGCCUCUUGCCAUCAGAUGUGCCCAGAUGGGAUUAGCUAGUAGGUGGGGUAACGGCUCACCUAGGCGACGAUCCCUAGCUGGUCUGAGAGGAU